ACGCUGUGAAGACCUGUGUCACUUGUGAAGUAUCCUACUGUGACGAGUGCCUGAAAGCCACUCACCCGAAUAAGAAGCCCAUUUAUUUCUGUCUUUGGUGGCUUUCUUCAGAUUGAUUGCAUUCCUGAAUUUAAACUUCAAAGGAAGACAAGGAAGGAAAGAACACACAAUAUUUAUUGACUUGUCUUUCUUGAACAAAAAAGUGAUAGCACUCACUUGUACUACAUUAGUAAAAACAGCUGGCUAAAUAUUGAUGAAAAUUAAUGACCUCUAGCAAACCACAU
RNAcentral lists this long non-coding RNA (284 nucleotides) under Homo sapiens (human). RNAcentral describes it as "non-protein coding lnc-ARHGAP6-7:4". The record is from RNAcentral. Lineage: Eukaryota; Metazoa; Chordata; Mammalia; Primates; Hominidae.